UUUUAUUAACUUACGGUUAGCUUAUGAACGUUUUUAAAACGUUUUUUUUAACGUGAUAAAAAAACUUUUUUUAAACGUAAUAUUUAAACGGCAAUAUUUAAAAGAGUAUGUUUACGCAAAUAAUGGCGUGACCUUCGAUUAGGCGAAUUGAUUUAUUUAAGUAAAAAUAUAUAAAUUAGUAUAUAUUUAAAUCAACCAAGUGUUUGUAUUGUUUUUUUGUAGAAUUAAAUUUGAAAAUAUAUUGGAGUAUUUUUAGUUUAAAGUUGUAUGCCUUCGUUGAAACUUGGUUGUGUUUGUAUUUCUACUUGAAUCAAGUAGAUAUGGUUAAUAAAGUUUUAAUGGUGUGGUUAGCUAGAUUAUUUUACUCUAAUAAGUAACUUAAUUGUUGAGUAAACUUGAAUGCUUAAAAAAACUAGAUUAAGUUUUUAAUUCUACUUAAUCAUCAACUGCUUUUAACGCAAAAAAAUCUAUUUGGAUUUGAAAAAAGGGAACAACAUUCUCAGACUUUUUCUUCUUUAACUCUAAAAAUUAAAAAUGAUAUCAGUGGUUUUUAUAAAGGAAUUACUAUAGUUAAAAAAGGCUGAAAGGAAAAAAUAUAAUGAUUUGUUUCAAGAAAGGGAGUGACUUACUUCAAAAUGUCAUUUUAAAAUUUUUAUUCUUUAAUGAUAUUCUGGUGUUAUUACCAAAUGUUUAGCAGUAUGAAACCUAUAAUAUUAUAUACCAUACUAUAUACCCUAUUUUACUUAUAAAGUUAAUAAUCUGUAAAGUAAUAUGUAAAAAUUUUUUAAUUGUAAAAUUGCUACAUGAGAAGACAAGUUGUUAGAUGAAAUUCAAAUAUUCUCUAUGUUUGUGUUGUGUAGGUCAAAAAAUAAUAAACAAAGAUGAUAUUGAUUGUGAUGACCAAGAGAUUCAUUUUAAGACACAUCAAUCUUCAUCAUCUUUAAAUAAAAAGGAUAAACAUUAUGGAUUUCCAUUAUCUCAAGCAAAAACCAAGAGUUCAAAAUACUAGUGGUAAGAACUGUCAAAAACUUGUGAUAGCUAUGAUGAAGAGAUUUGUGACAAAUUUGCUCAUGGCCAAAUCUAAUAUGGCAGCUGGAAAAGGCAAAGGAUCUUUUUAGCCUAACUAAGCUAUACAGUUUAAUAAAAGUUUGUGCAUCGACUUCUCACGAAUCAUACACAGAGUCGAUUGACGAUGCAAUAAUUGCUGAUUCGUGAAAACGGGCAGCUUUUGCUUGUCUUAAAGUGCCUUAAAUCCAUCGUUAUAAUAUUACUUUGUUUGUAAAUUGUUUUGAAAAAUAAAUUUAAAAAUAACUAUUAAA
This is a long non-coding RNA of Hydra vulgaris (swiftwater hydra), 1319 nucleotides long. RefSeq lists it as uncharacterized. The record is from RefSeq and is a predicted model, not a curated record. NCBI's taxonomy places the organism in Eukaryota, Metazoa, Cnidaria, Hydrozoa, Anthoathecata, Hydridae.